RNAcentral lists this transfer RNA (75 nucleotides) under Ictidomys tridecemlineatus (thirteen-lined ground squirrel). Its description in RNAcentral is "Spermophilus tridecemlineatus (thirteen-lined ground squirrel) tRNA". It matches the Rfam family "tRNA". Rfam says of the family: Transfer RNA (tRNA) molecules are approximately 80 nucleotides in length. Their secondary structure includes four short double-helical elements and three loops (D, anti-codon, and T loops). Further hydrogen bonds mediate the characteristic L-shaped molecular structure. tRNAs have two regions of fundamental functional importance: the anti-codon, which is responsible for specific mRNA codon recognition, and the 3' end, to which the tRNAs corresponding amino acid is attached (by aminoacyl-tRNA synthetases). tRNAs cope with the degeneracy of the genetic code in two manners: having more than one tRNA (with a specific anti-codon) for a particular amino acid; and 'wobble' base-pairing, i.e. permitting non-standard base-pairing at the 3rd anti-codon position. RNAcentral also lists the same sequence under 1 other name. The record is from Rfam by way of RNAcentral. Lineage: Eukaryota; Metazoa; Chordata; Mammalia; Rodentia; Sciuridae.
GGGGGUAUAGCUCAGUGUAAUUAGAGCAACUAUUUAGCAUGUACAAGGCCCUGGGUUCAAUUCACAGUGCUGCUA